AUCUAUGAAAUAUAUAAGUUUAGGCCACACCAAUUUGAUUCCUUGUUCGACGGACCCGCCCGCACCUAUUUUUUUCAAAACAGAUUUUUUUUAUUUUUUUUAUAUUCCCGCUUCCCGCAUCCGGAAAUGUAAUCAUGUCCAUUUCCAGCACCGUUUUUUUUGUAAAUAUUAUAAAAAAGAUAUCAACAUUUGUUUUUAAAAUCACAGUCUAACCUGUAUAUAACGAUUUUAAGCAUAAAAGCACCCCACCACACUGUGUAAAUAUCUGUGAGAA
This 274-nucleotide long non-coding RNA is filed under the name Mytilus galloprovincialis (Mediterranean mussel). Lineage: Eukaryota; Metazoa; Mollusca; Bivalvia; Mytilida; Mytilidae. The record is from RNAcentral.